Molecule: ribosomal RNA, 465 nt
Filed under: uncultured bacterium
Lineage: Bacteria
Description: partial 16S ribosomal RNA
Rfam family: Bacterial small subunit ribosomal RNA
Source: RNAcentral
GAUGAACGCUGGCGGCGUGCUUAACACAUGCAAGUCGAACGGAAAGGCUCCUGCUUGCAGGGGUACUCGAGUGGCGAACGGGUGAGAAACACGUGGGUGAUCUGCCCUGCACUUCGGGAUAAGCCUGGGAAACUGGGUCUAAUACCGGAUAGGACGAUGGUUUGGAUGCCAUUGUGGAAAGUGUUUCGGUGUGGGAUGAGCUCGCGGCCUAUCAGCUUGUUGGUGGGGUAAUGGCCUACCAAGGCGUCGACGGGUAGCCGGCCUGAGAGGGUGUACGGCCACAUUGGGACUGAGAUACGGCCCAGACUCCUACGGGAGGCAGCAGUGGGGAAUAUUGCACAAUGGGCGCAAGCCUGAUGCAGCGACGCCGCGUGGGGGAUGACGGCCUUCGGGUUGUAAACUGCUUUCGCUAGGGACGAAGCGCAAGUGACGGUACCUGGAGAAGAAGCACCGGCUAACUACGUG